UACGUAGGGGGCAAGCGUUGUCCGGAUUUAUUGGGCGUAAAGAGCGUGUAGGCGGCUUUACAGGUCCGUUGUGAAAACUCGAGGCUCAACCUCGAGACGCCGGUGGAAACCGUAAAGCUAGAGUCCGGAAGAGGAGAGUGGAAUUCCUGGUGUAGCGGUGAAAUGCGCAGAUAUCAGGAGGAACACCAAUGGCGAAGGCAGCACUCUGGGACGUGACUGACGCUGAGACGCGAAAGCGUGGGGAGCAAACGGG
Molecule: ribosomal RNA, 253 nt
Filed under: uncultured bacterium
Lineage: Bacteria
Description: partial 16S ribosomal RNA
Rfam family: Bacterial small subunit ribosomal RNA
Source: RNAcentral